Long non-coding RNA from Stylophora pistillata, 614 nucleotides. NCBI's taxonomy places the organism in Eukaryota, Metazoa, Cnidaria, Anthozoa, Scleractinia, Pocilloporidae. The record is from RefSeq and is a predicted model, not a curated record.
UGCGUUGUGGAAGUACUUACGUAGACGACGGAACUUUAAAUAUGAGAGGAAACAAUGAACCAAUCUACUCGUUUUGACCUUAAACUGGGACUGAAAACUGGGCCUCAAGCAUCACUUGCCCUUUAGUACAAGUUAGUAGUUGUGUGGUAGUUUUUGGAUGGAAAAAUGAUAACAGCUGCUGCAGAAUGCGAAUGGAGACAGGAUGGAGAGCAUUAGGACAUUCAGCCAGGAAAGACAGAUGCUCUUUCAAUCUCGUUUGAGGUUUGGCAGUGCAGCUUAUUUCGUGAGCUGAGAUAAGUAGUGAUGUAGAUAACAUAGAAACAUUACAAAUGCAAGAAAGAUAAGUUUUAACUUUUGCUUAAAUGCUUUGACGAGGUUUUCACUCUGACAAAGUGCGAUUUUACUGGGCUAAGAUUAAAUAGGCGAUGCGAGGGAUAACACAUUUUUAGAAAACUACUCCUUUAGGACAUUGGAGUUUUCGUUAGUCUUGAUCUAUGAUAGAAAGGGGUCGGUGUUACCCAAAUAUCGGUGUUACAAAAAUCGGUGUUACCCAAAUAUCGGUGUUACAAAUAUCGGUGUUACCCAAAUAUCGGUGUUACAAAUAUCGGUGUUAC